Molecule: long non-coding RNA, 645 nt
Organism: Drosophila teissieri
Lineage: Eukaryota; Metazoa; Arthropoda; Insecta; Diptera; Drosophilidae
Exons: 4
Source: RefSeq, a predicted model, not a curated record
UAUUAAGUUACCUGUGUUCAAAUAUAAAUAUUUAACAUUUCAGUGCAAAUGGUCGAAAUUCCGUUUUAAGCUGCCGUCCUGAAAUGACCAGAAGGACACGUUUCAUGGACAAGACCAAGUUUCGCCGGCAGGCCUACACCGCACAUCCUACUAGACUGUUAAAGUGGACCUGUUUGUAAUGCAACAAAAAAUAUUGGUCAUCAAAUAAUACAAUUAGGCAAAAACAAUGAAAAAUUUAAGAAUGGAUUUAGAAAGGUAAAGGACUAGAGUUAUUUUGUAAAUUUCUUUCAUAAAAAAAAAUAAAAUCAUGCCUUUCAAGAAAGUCCUAAAUACAUGUAGCGCGACAAAUCCGCUUACCGCCCUCCCACUCAACGCGGAAAAACCAAGCUAAGGACAAAAGCUUCAAGAAAAAGAAAUAUUUGAAAGAGCCUAGACAGUCGUUUACACGGCUUAUUCGUCUUCAUUUCAACAUCAACGAUGAUUAUGAUUUAAGGUCAUCCACAAAGGCGUCCAGUAAUGCCGGUUGCAAUGCAAUGACAGAGGGGUUGAUGAGUGCAAUCGCAACGUAAUUAGCGUCUUGGGAGACAUACGGCAUUAUAGCAGUGAGUUGCUCGACGAACUUUGAACCGAACUUUAAAUCAUCGA